Molecule: ribosomal RNA, 254 nt
Filed under: uncultured bacterium
Lineage: Bacteria
Description: partial 16S ribosomal RNA
Rfam family: Bacterial small subunit ribosomal RNA
Source: RNAcentral
UACGUAGGGUGCGAGCGUUGUCCGGAAUUAUUGGGCGUAAAGAGCUCGUAGGCGGUGUGUCACGUCGGCCGUGAAAACCUGCAGCUUAACUGUGGGCGUGCGGUCGAUACGGGCAUCACUGGAGUUCGGCAGGGGAGACUGGAAUUCCUGGUGUAGCGGUGAAAUGCGCAGAUAUCAGGAGGAACACCCGUAGCGAAGGCGGCGCUCUGGGCCGGUACUGACGCUGAGGAGCGAAAGCGUGGGGAGCAAACAGG